RNAcentral lists this ribosomal RNA (440 nucleotides) under uncultured bacterium. RNAcentral's name for it is "partial 16S ribosomal RNA". It matches the Rfam family "Bacterial small subunit ribosomal RNA", at positions 338 to 795 of the family's 1533-position model. The record is from RNAcentral.
CCUACGGGAGGCAGCAGUGGGGGAUAUUGCACAAUGGGGGAAACCCUGAUGCAGCGACGCCGCGUGUGGGAAGACGGUCCUCUGGAUUGUAAACCACUGUCCCCAGGGACGAAGAUGACGGUACCUGGGGAGUAAGCUCCGGCUAACUACGUGCCAGCAGCCGCGGUAAUACGUAGGGAGCGAGGGUUGUCCGGAAUUACUGGGUGUAAAGGGAGCGUAGGCGGGACUGCAGGUUGGGGGUCAAAUCUACGGGCUCAACCGGUAGCCGCACUCAAAACUGCAGUUCUUGAGUGAAGUAGAGGCAGGCGGAAUUCCUAGUGUAGCGGUGAAAUGCGUAGAUAUUAGGAGGAACACCAGUGGCGAAGGCGGCUUACUGGACUGUAACUGACGUUGAGGCUCGAAAGCGUGGGGAGCAAACAGGAUUAGAUACCCCAGUAGUC